AGUGAACGCUGGCGGUAGGCCUAACACAUGCAAGUCGAACGGCAGCACAGUAAGAGCUUGCUCUUACGGGUGGCGAGUGGCGGACGGGUGAGGAAUACAUCGGAAUCUACUUUUUCGUGGGGGAUAACGUAGGGAAACUUACGCUAAUACCGCAUACGACCUACGGGUGAAAGCAGGGGAUCUUCGUACCUUGCGCGAUUGAAUGAGCCGAUGUCGGAUUAGCUAGUUGGCGGGGUAAAGGCCCACCAAGGCGACGAUCCGUAGCUGGUCUGAGAGGAUGAUCAGCCACACUGGAACUGAGACACGGCCCAGACUCCUACGGGAGGCAGCAGUGGGGAAUAUUGGACAAUGGGCGCAAGCCUGAUCCAGCCAUACCGCGUGGGUGAAGAAGGCCUUCGGGUUGUAAAGCCCUUUUGUUGGGAAAGAAAAGCAGCAGGUUAAUACCCCGCUGUUCUGACGGUACCCAAAGAAUAAGCACCGGCUAACUUCGUG
Molecule: ribosomal RNA, 492 nt
Filed under: uncultured bacterium
Lineage: Bacteria
Description: partial 16S ribosomal RNA
Rfam family: Bacterial small subunit ribosomal RNA
Source: RNAcentral